RNAcentral lists this unclassified non-coding RNA (536 nucleotides) under Hevea brasiliensis (rubber tree). The record is from RNAcentral. Lineage: Eukaryota; Viridiplantae; Streptophyta; Magnoliopsida; Malpighiales; Euphorbiaceae.
UGCUGGGAUAAAUCCUCAAAGGGUAUCUUGUUGUUUUACAUAACACUUGUUUUGCAUGGACAUUAAGAGUGAUUCUCAUUUUGCUUGUUGGUUUUGAUCUUACAAGCUUAGAAAUAUUACCUACUAUUCUUUCUCCACUAGUUCCUUUCGAUGCUUUUUCAUGUCCAUGGGAAUUUCUUGUUAGUCCCUUUUUUUAAAAGACACAUAGAUUUUGCAGGGUUCUUUCUCUGUUAACUUUUAGUGCAUAUGGAUAUCUUUCUUUUUUGGGCAUUCCAUAUGCACUCAUUUAGUUGAGGCAUCGUAUGUGUUAGCCGUAACCCAUCUCUCGUAAUGUUUCCAGCACGUGAACUCUGUUUUAUGGAAAGGUUGAGGUGCUAUUUAGCUUGAAGGCUCUUUGCAUAUGAUGACUGCUAAUGUUUCUAUUUCCUCUGGAGAUAUUGCAUAAUCUCAUUAGUUGUUUUGUUGAAAAAUAAUUUUAAUUUAUAAUAAAUAUUAUAAGUCCACAUCAAUCUAUAUGUAUAUAUGGCUAUAAAAUG